This 253-nucleotide ribosomal RNA is filed under the name uncultured bacterium. RNAcentral describes it as "partial 16S ribosomal RNA". It matches the Rfam family "Bacterial small subunit ribosomal RNA", at positions 524 to 776 of the family's 1533-position model. The record is from RNAcentral.
UACGUAGGGUGCAAGCGUUAAUCGGAAUUACUGGGCGUAAAGCGUGCGCAGGCGGUUUCGUAAGUCUGUCGUGAAAUCCCCGGGCUUAACCUGGGAAUGGCGAUGGAGACUGCGAGGCUAGAGUUUGGCAGAGGGGGGUAGAAUUCCACGUGUAGCAGUGAAAUGCGUAGAGAUGUGGAGGAAUACCGAUGGCGAAGGCAGCCCCCUGGGAUAACACUGACGCUCAUGCACGAAAGCGUGGGGAGCGAACAGG